AACGAACGCUGGCGGCAGGCUUAACACAUGCAAGUCGAACGAUCUCUUCGGAGAUAGUGGCAGACGGGUGAGUAACACGUGGGAAUCUACCUGGUUCUUCGGGAUAACUGAUGGAAACGUCAGCUAAUACCGGAUACGCCCUUUUGGGGAAAGAUUUAUCGGAAUCAGAUGAGCCCGCGUAAGAUUAGCUAGUUGGUGGGGUAACGGCUCACCAAGGCGACGAUCUUUAGCUGGUCUGAGAGGAUGAUCAGCCACACUGGGACUGAGACACGGCCCAGACUCCUACGGGAGGCAGCAGUGGGGAAUAUUGGACAAUGGGGGCAACCCUGAUCCAGCCAUGCCGCGUGAGUGAUGAAGGCCUUAGGGUUGUAAAGCUCUUUCACCGGUGAAGAUAAUGACGGUAACCGGAGAAGAAGCCCCGGCUAACUUCGUGCCAGCAGCCGCGGUAAUACGAAGGGGGCUAGCGUUGUUCGGAAUUACUGGGCGUAAAGCGCACGUAGGCGGAUUGGUCAGUUAGAGGUGAAAUCCCGGAGCUCAACUCCGGAACUGCCUUUAAUACUGCCAAUCUAGAGACCGAGAGAGGUAAGUGGAACUCCUAGUGUAGA
RNAcentral lists this ribosomal RNA (605 nucleotides) under uncultured bacterium. Its description in RNAcentral is "bacterial SSU rRNA". It matches the Rfam family "Bacterial small subunit ribosomal RNA", at positions 28 to 679 of the family's 1533-position model. The record is from RNAcentral.